GGGUCAGUAGGUUGGUCGUGCCACCGGUACGUACUGGUCUCACUGAUUCCUCCUUCCCGAAGAACCGUAAUGCCAUUAAUUUGGUGUUGCGGGGAAACAGGACUGUUACUUUGAAAAAAUUAGAGUGUUUAAAGCAAGCUAACGCCUGAAUACAUUAGCAUGGAAUAAUGAAAUAGGACGAUCGAUCCUAUUUUGUUGGUUUCUAGGAUUGACGUA
This 216-nucleotide ribosomal RNA is filed under the name Glomeromycotina sp. RNAcentral's name for it is "partial small subunit ribosomal RNA". The stretch from base 75 to 216 matches the Rfam family "Eukaryotic small subunit ribosomal RNA", at positions 721 to 864 of the family's 1831-position model. The record is from RNAcentral. Lineage: Eukaryota; Fungi; Glomeromycota.